Molecule: long non-coding RNA, 504 nt
Organism: Oncorhynchus keta (chum salmon)
Lineage: Eukaryota; Metazoa; Chordata; Actinopteri; Salmoniformes; Salmonidae
Exons: 3
Source: RefSeq, a predicted model, not a curated record
GAGAAAUCUGGAGACAGAUACGAGACGCCGCUACACACGCUGCCGCCACCUGAGACGGCCGGAAACUCAGGAACGCAUGGUCUAGAGGAACACAGCCAAUCAGACCGUUAGUAGAGGAACACAGCCAAUCAGACCGUUAGUAGAGGUCUAGAGGAACACAGCCAAUCAGACCGUUAGUAGAGGUCUAGAGGAACACAGCCAAUCAGACCGUUAGUAGAGGUCUAGAGGAACACAGCCAAUCAGACCGUUAGUAGAGGUCUAGAGGAACACAGCCAAUCAGACCGUUAGUAGAGGUCUAGAGGAACACAGCCAAUCAGACCGUUAGUAGAGGUCUAGAGGAACACAGCCAAUCAGACCGUUAGUAGAGGUCUAGAGGAACACAGCCAAUCAGACCGUUAGUAGAGGUCUAGAGGAACACAGCCAAUCAGACUGUUAGUAGAGGUCUAGAGGAACACAGCCAAUCAGACCGUUAGUAGAGGUCUAGAGGAACACAGCCAAUCAGAC